This 428-nucleotide unclassified non-coding RNA is filed under the name Trichotorquatus coquimbo ATA2-1-KO25A. Its description in RNAcentral is "16S-23S ribosomal RNA intergenic spacer". The record is from RNAcentral. Lineage: Bacteria; Bacillati; Cyanobacteriota; Cyanophyceae; Oculatellales; Oculatellaceae.
UUAGGGAGACCUUACCCGCUCUGCGCUGAUGUUUCCGUAUAGACUUUGCAGAUGAUGCGGAGUUUGUAUGGGGACAAAGAAGGCGAGAGAGCUGGUUAUCCCAAGGUCGAGCAGGGAAGAGUGAAGCUGACUUCCAAACUACACCAGGUUGAAUAGCAAACGGCUAAGCGAGUCUAGGGAUUAGUGAUAGUUGUUUUGUUUGAGGAAGUAUUUCAGCAAUUGUUCUAGCGAAGGAGUUAGACAAGAUGCUGGAAUAGAUUCCAGUGAGGCACCUUGAAAACUGCAUAGUAGAAGAAGUCAGGUAGAAGGGACUGAGACUUAUUCAGAGCGACGAGCGAGGACAACGAAGGCUUGCGAGAGACAAGUUGUCUGGAGUGAAGGAGUGAUGAGUAAGGAGCAGUCAAGAAAACAGACAUUUUAAGAGAGAA